GACGAACGCUGGCGGUAUGCUUAACACAUGCAAGUCGAACGAGAAGUCUUUUAUUGAACCUUCGGGGGAUAUAAGAGACAGACAGUGGCGAACGGGUGAGUAACGCGUGGGCAACCUACCUAUCGGAGCGGGAUAGCCUCGAGAAAUCGGGAGUAAAACCGCAUAACACGGAUAUAUCGCAUGAUGAAUCCGUCAAAACUCCGGUGCCGAUAGAUGGGCCCGCGUCUGAUUAGCUAGUUGGUAAGGUAAGGGCUUACCAAGGCAACGAUCAGUAGCCGGUCUGAGAGGGCGAACGGCCACACUGGAACUGAGACACGGUCCAGACUCCUACGGGAGGCAGCAGUGGGGAAUAUUGCGCAAUGGGGGCAACCCUGACGCAGCAAUACCGCGUGAGUGAAAGAAAGGUUUUUCGGAUUCGUAAAAGCUUCUGGUAA
RNAcentral lists this ribosomal RNA (434 nucleotides) under Pseudoramibacter alactolyticus. RNAcentral's name for it is "bacterial SSU rRNA". It matches the Rfam family "Bacterial small subunit ribosomal RNA", at positions 28 to 440 of the family's 1533-position model. The record is from RNAcentral. Lineage: Bacteria; Bacillati; Bacillota; Clostridia; Eubacteriales; Eubacteriaceae.